AGUGAACGCUGGCGGUAGGCCUAACACAUGCAAGUCGAACGGCAGCACAGUAAGAGCUUGCUCUUACGGGUGGCGAGUGGCGGACGGGUGAGGAAUACAUCGGAAUCUACUUUUUCGUGGGGGAUAACGUAGGGAAACUUACGCUAAUAUCGCAUACGACCUACGGGUGAAAGCAGGGGAUCUUCGGACCUUGCGCGAUUGAAUGAGCCGAUGUCGGAUUAGCUAGUUGGCGGGGUAAAGGCCCACCAAGGCGACGAUCCGUAGCUGGUCUGAGAGGAUGAUCAGCCACACUGGAACUGAGACACGGUCCAGACUCCUACGGGAGGCAGCAGUGGGGAAUAUUGGACAAUGGGCGCAAGCCUGAUCCAGCCAUACCGCGUGGGUGAAGAAGGCCUUCGGGUUGUAAAGCCCUUUUGUUGGGAAAGAAAAGCAGCAGGUUAAUACCCCGCUGUUCUGACGGUACUCAAAGAAUAAGCACCGGCUAACUUCGUG
RNAcentral lists this ribosomal RNA (492 nucleotides) under uncultured bacterium. Its description in RNAcentral is "partial 16S ribosomal RNA". It matches the Rfam family "Bacterial small subunit ribosomal RNA", at positions 29 to 507 of the family's 1533-position model. The record is from RNAcentral.